This 348-nucleotide unclassified non-coding RNA is filed under the name soil metagenome. Its description in RNAcentral is "partial contains 5.8S ribosomal RNA, internal transcribed spacer 2, and large subunit ribosomal RNA". The stretch from base 1 to 120 matches the Rfam family "5.8S ribosomal RNA", at positions 35 to 154 of the family's 154-position model. The record is from RNAcentral.
GAUGAAUAACGUAGCGAAAUGCGAUAAGUAAUGUGAAUUGCAGAAUUCAGUGAAUCAUCGAAUCUUUGAACGCACAUUGCGCCCGCCAGUAUUCUGGCGGGCAUGCCUGUCCGAGCGUCAUUUCAACCCUCGCGCCCAUCUGGGCUGCGGUGUUGGGGACCGGCCUGCCCCCCGGGGCGCGCCGCCCCCCAAAUUCAGUGGCGGUCUCGCUGCAGCCUCCCUUGCGUAGUAGCACACCUCGCACCGGAGCGCAGCGCGGCCACGCCGUAAAACCCCCGACCCCCAUGAGUUUGACCUCGGAUCAGGUAGGAAUACCCGCUGAACUUAAGCAUAUCAAUAAGCGGAGGA